CACCCAGGACGGUGGAUCACUCGGCUCGUGGGUCGAUGAAGAACGCAGCAAAUUGCGCGUCGACAUGUGAACUGCAGGACACAUGAACAUCGACGUUUCGAACGCACAUUGCGGUCCAUGUAUUCCGUUCCCGGGCCACGUCUGGCUGAGGGUCG
Molecule: ribosomal RNA, 155 nt
Filed under: Schistocerca americana (American grasshopper)
Lineage: Eukaryota; Metazoa; Arthropoda; Insecta; Orthoptera; Acrididae
Description: 5.8S ribosomal RNA
Rfam family: 5.8S ribosomal RNA
About the family: 5.8S ribosomal RNA (5.8S rRNA) is a component of the large subunit of the eukaryotic ribosome.
Source: RNAcentral